AAUUCGAUGGUACGCGAGGAACCUUACCAGGGCUUGACAUGUGCCGGAAGCGCACCGAAAGGUGCGUGCCGCUUGCGGCCGGCGCACAGGUGCUGCAUGGCUGUCGUCAGCUCGUGCUGUGAAGUGUUGGGUUAAGUCCCGCAACGAGCGCAACCCCUGCUGCCUGUUGCCACCACGAGAGGUGGGGACUCAGGCGGGACCGCCGGUGACAAACCGGAGGAAGUGGGGACGACGUCAAGUCAUCAUGGCCCUUAUGUCCUGGGCUACACACGUGCUACAAUGGCCGGUACAGAGCGCAGCGAGGCCGCGAGGCGGAGCGAAUCGCUUAAAGCCGGUCCCAGUACGGAUUGGAGUCUGCAACCCGACUCCAUGAAGUUGGAAUCGCUAGUAAUCGCGCAUCAGCAUGGCGCGGUGAAUACGUUCCCGGGCCUU
RNAcentral lists this ribosomal RNA (432 nucleotides) under uncultured Spirochaeta sp. Its description in RNAcentral is "bacterial SSU rRNA". It matches the Rfam family "Bacterial small subunit ribosomal RNA", at positions 948 to 1382 of the family's 1533-position model. The record is from RNAcentral. Lineage: Bacteria; Pseudomonadati; Spirochaetota; Spirochaetia; Spirochaetales; Spirochaetaceae.